AUUGAACGCUGGCGGCAGGCCUAACACAUGCAAGUCGAGCGCGCGGCGGACGGGUGAGUAAUGUCUGGGAAACUGCCUGAUGGAGGGGGGUAACUACUGGAAACGGUAUCUAAUACCGCAUACCAUCAGAUGUGCCCAGAGGGGAUUAGCUCGUGGGUGGGGUAACGGCUCACCUAGGCGACGAUCCCUCGCUGGUCUGAGAGGAUGACCAGCCACACUGGAACUGAGACACGGUCCAGACUCCUACGGGAGGCAGCAGUGGGGAAUAUUGCACAAUGGGCGCAAGCCUGAUGCAGCCAUGCCGCGUGUGUGAAGAAGGCCUUCGGGUUGUAAAGCACUUUCAGCGGGGAGGCGUUACCCGCAGAAGAAGCACCGGCUAACUCCGUGCCAGCAGCCGCGGUAAUUC
This 406-nucleotide ribosomal RNA is filed under the name uncultured bacterium. Its description in RNAcentral is "partial 16S ribosomal RNA". It matches the Rfam family "Bacterial small subunit ribosomal RNA", at positions 30 to 526 of the family's 1533-position model. The record is from RNAcentral.